GGUCAAGUAGAAAAGGGCGCACGGUGAAUGCCUAGGCACUAAAGCCGAUGAAGGACGUGACGAACUACGAAAAGCUUCGGGGAGCGGUAAGUACGCAGUGAUCCGGAGAUGUCCGAAUGGGGGAACCCAAUGCAGCGAUGCAUUAUUGGUUGAUGAAUAAAUAGUCAAUCAAAGGAAUACGCAGCGAACUGAAACAUCUAAGUAGCUGCAGGAAGAGAAAGAAAAAUCGAUUUCCUUAGUAGCGGCGAGCGAAGAGGAAAGAGCCCAAACCAAGUGAUUUAUCAUUUGGGGUUGUAGGACUGCAACGUGGCAGCGUGAGUGAUAGCAGAAUUAUCUGGGAAGGUAAGCCAGAGAGGGUGAGAGCCCCGUAAGCGAAAUUGCAAGCGCGCCUAGCAGAAUCCUGAGUAGGCCGGGACACGAGAAAUCCCGGUUGAAACCGCGAGGACCAUCUCGCAAGGCUAAAUACUAAUUAGUGACCGAUAGUGAACCAGUACCGUGAGGGAAAGGUGAAAAGAACCCCGGAAGGGGAGUGAAAUAGAACCUGAAACCGUGUGUCUACAAGUAGUCAAAGCACAUUAAAGUGCAAUGGCGUGCCUUUUGUAGAAUGAACCGGCGAGUUACGUUAUCUAGCGAGGUUAAGUCAGAAAAGACGGAGCCGGAGCGAAAGCGAGUCUGAAUAGGGCGAGAAGUUAGGUGACGUAGACCCGAAACCAAGUGACCUACCCAUGACCAGGCUGAAGGCGUGGUAAAACGCGCUGGAGGGCCGAACCCACGUAAGUUAAAAAUUGCGGGGAUGAGUUGUGGGUAGCGGUGAAAUUCCAAACGAACUUGGAGAUAGCUGGUUCUCUCCGAAAUAGCUUUAGGGCUAGCCUCGUGGAGAGGAUAAUGGAGGUAGAGCUCUGUUUGGACUAGGGGCCCGUCAGGGGUUACUGAAUCCAGAUAAACUGCGAAUUCCAGAUAUCCAUACACGGGAGUCAGACUGCGAGUGAUAAGAUCCGUAGUCGAAAGGGAAACAGCCCAGAUCACCAGUUAAGGUCCCCAAAUCUAUGCUAAGUGGAAAAGGAUGUGGAGUUGCGUAGACAACUAGGACGUUGGCUCAGAAGCAGCCAUCAUUCAAAGAGUGCGUAAUAGCUCACUAGUCGAGUGACGCUGCGCCGAAAAUUUACCGGGGCUAAGCAUAGUACCGAAACUGUGGAUGUACGUAAGUACGUGGUAGGAGAGCGUUCUAAGUGCGGCGAAGGUUAACCGAGAGGAUAAUUGGAGCGCUUAGAAGUGAGAAUGCCGGUAUGAGUAGCGAAAGAUAGGUGAGAAUCCUAUCCGCCGAAAGACUAAGGUUUCCUGGGGCAGGCUCGUCCGCC
This 1358-nucleotide ribosomal RNA is filed under the name Lactobacillus helveticus. RNAcentral's name for it is "partial 23S ribosomal RNA". It matches the Rfam family "Bacterial large subunit ribosomal RNA", at positions 1 to 1374 of the family's 2925-position model. The record is from RNAcentral. Lineage: Bacteria; Bacillati; Bacillota; Bacilli; Lactobacillales; Lactobacillaceae.